AACGAACGCUGGCGGCAUGCCUAACACAUGCAAGUCGAACGAGACCUUCGGGUCUAGUGGCGCACGGGUGCGUAACGCGUGGGAACCUGCCUUUAGGUUCGGAAUAACUCAGAGAAAUUUGAGCUAUUACCGGAUGAUGUCUUCGGACCAAAGAUUUAUCGCCUUUAGAUGGGCCCGCGUUGGAUUAGCUAGUUGGUGGGGUAAAGGCCUACCAAGGCGACGAUCCAUAGCUGGUCUGAGAGGAUGAUCAGCCACACUGGGACUGAGACACGGCCCAGACUCCUACGGGAGGCAGCAGUGGGGAAUAUUGGACAAUGGGCGAAAGCCUGAUCCAGCAAUGCCGCGUGAGUGAUGAAGGCCUUAGGGUUGUAAAGCUCUUUUACCCGAGAUGAUAAUGACAGUAGCGGGAGAAUAAGCUCCGGCUAACUCCGUG
RNAcentral lists this ribosomal RNA (433 nucleotides) under uncultured bacterium. RNAcentral describes it as "partial 16S ribosomal RNA". It matches the Rfam family "Bacterial small subunit ribosomal RNA", at positions 29 to 507 of the family's 1533-position model. The record is from RNAcentral.